GAAAAAGUUAUAGUGGCUAUAGGGUUGGCUUGAAAUCAAUCUCAGAAGGUUCGAUUCCUUCCUUUUUUA
Molecule: transfer RNA, 69 nt
Filed under: Semnopithecus hypoleucos (black-footed gray langur)
Lineage: Eukaryota; Metazoa; Chordata; Mammalia; Primates; Cercopithecidae
Description: tRNA-Ser
Rfam family: tRNA
About the family: Transfer RNA (tRNA) molecules are approximately 80 nucleotides in length. Their secondary structure includes four short double-helical elements and three loops (D, anti-codon, and T loops).
Source: RNAcentral